GCUCUGGUGGCGGAAUUGGCAGACGCGCUUCUUUGAGGUGGAAGUGCCGGAAACGGCGUGCGGGUUCGAGUCCCGCCCAGAGCACCA
Molecule: transfer RNA, 87 nt
Filed under: Achromobacter anxifer
Lineage: Bacteria; Pseudomonadati; Pseudomonadota; Betaproteobacteria; Burkholderiales; Alcaligenaceae
Description: tRNA-Leu
Rfam family: tRNA
About the family: Transfer RNA (tRNA) molecules are approximately 80 nucleotides in length. Their secondary structure includes four short double-helical elements and three loops (D, anti-codon, and T loops).
Source: RNAcentral